Molecule: ribosomal RNA, 401 nt
Filed under: uncultured bacterium
Lineage: Bacteria
Description: bacterial SSU rRNA
Rfam family: Bacterial small subunit ribosomal RNA
Source: RNAcentral
GAAUCUUGCGCAAUGGGCGAAAGCCUGACGCAGCAACGCCGCGUGCGGGAUGAAGGCCUUCGGGUUGUAAACCGCUUUCAGUGGGGACGAAUCCAGACGGUACCCACAGAAGAAGCCCCGGCCAACUACGUGCCAGCAGCCGCGGUAACACGUAGGGGGCGAGCGUUGUCCGGAUUCAUUGGGCGUAAAGAGCUCGUAGGCGGCUCAGCAAGUCGGGUGUGAAAACUCCAGGCUCAACCUGGAGACGCCACCCGAUACUGCUGUGGCUAGAGUCCAGUAGGGGAGCGUGGAAUUCCCGGUGUAGCGGUGAAAUGCGCAGAUAUCGGGAGGAACACCAGCGGCGAAGGCGGCGCUCUGGGCUGGAACUGACGCUGAGGAGCGAAAGCGUGGGGAGCAAACAG